RNAcentral lists this ribosomal RNA (253 nucleotides) under uncultured bacterium. RNAcentral's name for it is "partial 16S ribosomal RNA". It matches the Rfam family "Bacterial small subunit ribosomal RNA", at positions 524 to 776 of the family's 1533-position model. The record is from RNAcentral.
UACGGAGGGUGCAAGCGUUAAUCGGAAUUACUGGGCGUAAAGGGUGCGUAGGCGGUUAGUUAAGUCUGUCGUGAAAUCCCCGGGCUCAACCUGGGAAUGGCGAUGGAUACUGGCUAGCUAGAGUGUGUCAGAGGAUGGUGGAAUUCCCGGUGUAGCGGUGAAAUGCGUAGAGAUCGGGAGGAACAUCAGUGGCGAAGGCGGCCAUCUGGGACAACACUGACGCUGAAGCACGAAAGCGUGGGGAGCAAACAGG